Molecule: ribosomal RNA, 253 nt
Filed under: uncultured bacterium
Lineage: Bacteria
Description: partial 16S ribosomal RNA
Rfam family: Bacterial small subunit ribosomal RNA
Source: RNAcentral
UACGUAGGGAGCAAGCGUUGUCCGGAAUCAUUGGGCGUAAAGCGCGCGUAGGCGGCCCUGUAAGUCCGCUGUGAAAGUCAAAGGCUCAACCUUUGAAAGCCGGUGGAUACUGCAGGGCUAGAGUCCGGAAGAGGCGAGUGGAAUUCCUGGUGUAGCGGUGGAAUGCGCAGAUAUCAGGAGGAACACCGGUGGCGAAGGCGGAUCUCUGGGCCAUUACUGACGCUGAGGAGCGAAAGCGUGGGGAGCGAACAGG